UACGUAGGUGACAAGCGUUGUCCGGAUUUACUGGGCGUAAAGAGCGCGCAGGCGGUCGUUCAAGUCGAGUGUGAAAGCCCCCGGCUCAACUGGGGAGGGUCAUUCGAUACUGAUCGACUCGAAGGCAGGAGAGGGAAGUGGAAUUCCCGGUGUAGUGGUGAAAUGCGUAGAUAUCGGGAGGAACACCAGUGGCGAAGGCGGCUUUCUGGUCCUUAACUGACGCUGAGGCGCGAAAGCAUGGGGAGCGAACGGG
This 253-nucleotide ribosomal RNA is filed under the name uncultured bacterium. RNAcentral describes it as "partial 16S ribosomal RNA". It matches the Rfam family "Bacterial small subunit ribosomal RNA", at positions 524 to 776 of the family's 1533-position model. The record is from RNAcentral.